UAUUCAGAAAGAAUAUCUCGCAAUCAGUUUGCAAACAACCUUUGCGUGAACGUGUACAUUAAUUUUUACUGCCAGUUCGCCGUGUUUUAUUUAAUAAUUAUUUUUAUUGUGUUUCGUUUCAUUCCAAGUAAAUGAAGAUGCGCUUAUCGCUAUGGUACAUAUCCUUCGUAUUUCUGUGCUUUUAUGGUGCUCGGAAUGUGUUUGCUUACAAAAUACCACCAGUUCAACUGGAAGUGAGAGGAGAAGGAUUUCGUGUUUCGAUACCGCAUGAGAAUGGAAUCACUAUGGCAAUAUAUAAUAUUGAGAUUAAUGAACAGUGUCCGUUAUUAUUGGAUUUGAUAACUAAACAAAGGGACAAUCGUUGGACAACUGAACAAGGCGCUCGUAAAUUGCAGAGAAAUGCUAAAGUAAAAAUAAAUGUACUAAUAAUACAUAAGGAGGGUAUAUUUUCACGAACCGAUAAUGUAAGACUCUCAGACAAUAGUAUCAUCCAUGAAACUAUUCUGGAAUCUGACAAACCGAUCGAUCCAUGUACGGCAACUAAUCCACAGCUAAAUGCAGCCACAAAUGCUGUUAUUAAGAACAGUGAAACUAAAGUUGUUGUGAACAAUAAACCUUCUGCAAGAAUAUUCAAACCGAAUGAGUUAAUUUUUGAAGAGAAGUUCCAAUCACCAACACUAUCGAAUUGGAAUCGUAGAAAUUUUAUGCAUUCAAAUUCAAUAGGGGAUCGAUCAGAGGAUUUUACAGCUGUAAUCGAUAAAGAUCCCUAUCUAGAUGUGAAUGGUGGAACUUUACUAAUAACACCAACAAUAUCGAAUAGAACAAAUAAAGAAAGCUUUCAACUUGAAAAUUGUAGAAGUCCUGUUUGCUAUGAGAACAACAACUUUACUUGCGCAUAUGUGAAAGAUAAAAAUAGAUCAUAUGCACAUCCACCACCAGUAAACACGGGGAGAAUCGACACAAAUGGUAAAUUCAGUUUUACAUAUGGACGUAUUGAAAUCUAUGCAACCCUGCCCAACGGUGAUUGGUUAUUCCCCUAUAUUAUGCUUAUACCCGACAAACUCAAUUGUACUAUGCGGAAACAACUUCGCAUAGCUUUUGCCACGUCAGUUGAUCUCGAAAAUAAGCGUAUGCGUGGUGGCCCAGUAAUAUUAAAUGCCCGACCUAAUAAAGACAAAUAUUACUUCGUUCGUACAAAUCACAUGGCCAUCAGCACGGAUUUCAAUCCAAAUGGCUUUCACAACUUCACGCUAGUAUGGACUUCAAGCGCAAUCGGUAUUUUCGUCGAUAAUAAGAAGUACGGUUGUUUCAUAAACGUAGAUGAAUUUGCGGAACCUUAUCAUAUCGUGUUGGGAGUUGGAGCUGGAGGACACCUUGAAUUUGAGGAUAUGCAAAACAAGGCAUGGCGAAAUACACUUAAUUCCGCAUUUACUUUAUUUCAUCGAAGUUUCCAGGGUUGUUGCAAAAAAGCGACAUUUAAACCAAAAUGCCUUGAUAAGAAGAAAGAGUGAAUAUGCAGCGGGGAGUGGGGCCCGCAGGCGACUAUGCCUGUGAAAUACCUAAAAGCGUUGAACAGUAUAGAUGAAAAGUGCUUUUGUAUUUGAAGUCAAGUUCGGAGUUUCGGUUUAUAGUCAGAUGGAGAGUAAAAAAGGACGAAUAUUGCGGAUUUGCGUAUACUGGGGUUAAGGGAAGAUUUCAACUGAUUUGACAUUACUCAAGUAUAUUCGACAACAUGUUUCCAUGAAAUUUUGUGAAGAUAAUUCCCACACUAACCGAAGCAAAAAGCUGAGAUAAUUCGUAAAGCAAUUUCACACAUUUUCUGCAUUAAACUACAAGUAUAGUAUAUCCAAUGUUAUACAUUUACAUAAUUUGCCCUUAGAUAUUGACCAAUAAAUAUGGUAUAA
Bactrocera oleae (olive fruit fly) is the source of this 1904-nucleotide non-coding RNA. Lineage: Eukaryota; Metazoa; Arthropoda; Insecta; Diptera; Tephritidae. The record is from RefSeq and is a predicted model, not a curated record.